UACGUAGGGUGCAAGCGUUAAUCGGAAUUACUGGGCGUAAAGCGUGCGCAGGCGGUUUUGUAAGUCAGAUGUGAAAUCCCCGGGCUCAACCUGGGAAUUGCGUUUGAGACUGCAUGGCUAGAGUGUGUCAGAGGGGGGUAGAAUUCCACGUGUAGCAGUGAAAUGCGUAGAGAUGUGGAGGAAUACCGAUGGCGAAGGCAGCCCCCUGGGAUAACACUGACGCUCAUGCACGAAAGCGUGGGGAGCAAACAGG
Molecule: ribosomal RNA, 253 nt
Filed under: uncultured bacterium
Lineage: Bacteria
Description: partial 16S ribosomal RNA
Rfam family: Bacterial small subunit ribosomal RNA
Source: RNAcentral